RNAcentral lists this ribosomal RNA (253 nucleotides) under uncultured bacterium. RNAcentral describes it as "partial 16S ribosomal RNA". It matches the Rfam family "Bacterial small subunit ribosomal RNA", at positions 524 to 776 of the family's 1533-position model. The record is from RNAcentral.
GCCAGAGGGGGCAAGCGUUGUCCGGGGUUACUGGGCGUAAAGGGCGCGGGGGCGGUCUGCGGCGUCGGCGCUGAAAGCGCCCCGCUUAACGGGGCGAGGCGUGCCGAUACGAGCAGACUUGAGGCGAGCAGAGGGUGGUGGAAUUCCGGGUGGAGCGGUGAAAUGCGUAGAGAUUCGGAGGAACGCCAGUGGGGAGGCCGGCCACCUGGGCUCGUCCUGACGCUGCGGCGCGGCCGCGUGGGGAGCAAACCGG